UCCAACAGUGCGGUUGCCUGGGC
Molecule: non-coding RNA, 23 nt
Filed under: Mus musculus (house mouse)
Lineage: Eukaryota; Metazoa; Chordata; Mammalia; Rodentia; Muridae
Source: RNAcentral